Molecule: ribosomal RNA, 254 nt
Filed under: uncultured bacterium
Lineage: Bacteria
Description: partial 16S ribosomal RNA
Rfam family: Bacterial small subunit ribosomal RNA
Source: RNAcentral
UACGUAGGGGGCAAGCGUUGUUCGGAAUUACUGGGCGUAAAGAGCUCGUAGGCGGUGUGUCACGUCGGCCGUGAAAACCUGCAGCUUAACUGUGGGCGUGCGGUCGAUACGGGCAUCACUGGAGUUCGGCAGGGGAGACUGGAAUUCCUGGUGUAGCGGUGAAAUGCGCAGAUAUUAGGAAGAACACCGGUGGCGAAGGCGGCCCACUGGUCCGGUACUGACGCUGAGGUGCGAAAGCGUGGGGAGCAAACAGG